UUAGACCUCAAAUCAGUCAGGACUACCCGC
This 30-nucleotide ribosomal RNA is filed under the name Erythrobasidium hasegawianum. Its description in RNAcentral is "partial 26S rRNA". The record is from RNAcentral. Lineage: Eukaryota; Fungi; Basidiomycota; Cystobasidiomycetes; Erythrobasidiales; Erythrobasidiaceae.